Molecule: small RNA, 27 nt
Filed under: Bombyx mori (domestic silkworm)
Lineage: Eukaryota; Metazoa; Arthropoda; Insecta; Lepidoptera; Bombycidae
Description: ovarian small RNA-19211
Source: RNAcentral
UAAGAUGUAAAAGUGAUAUGUUGUUGU